UAGCAGCUCAUCUGGCUCUUCCGGAGUCCGAGUUGUACUGUGUAGAAGAUGCUUUGGGACGUAGGGCCGGCCUAAGUACCUUGGAACAGGACAUCAGAGAGGGUGAGAAUCCCGUAUGUGGCCGUGGCCUACCGCCGUGUAAAGCUCUAUCGACGAGUCGAGUUGUCGUGGGCGUGCAGCUCAAAAUGGGUGGUAAAUUUCAUCUAAAGCUAAAUAUUGGCCAGAGACCGAUAGCGCACAAGUAGAGUGAUCGACCGAUGACGAAGCACUUUGGAGAGCGAGUGAAACAGUACGUGGAAUCCUUGAGAGGGACGCGCUUGCACCCAGACUUGGGCGUCGUCGAUAAUCCGAGGUUCUGCUCGGUGCACUCGACGAGGCACAGGCCAGCAUCGGUUUGGAUGGUUGGAGAAAGGCUCGAGGAACGUAGCUCUCUUCGGGGAGUCAUAGCCUUGGACGCAAUGCAGCCCAUCCGGACCGAGGACCGCGCCUUCGGGCUAGGAUGCUGGCGUAAUGGUUGCAAGCCACCCG
This 528-nucleotide ribosomal RNA is filed under the name Golovinomyces hyoscyami. RNAcentral describes it as "eukaryotic LSU rRNA". It matches the Rfam family "Eukaryotic large subunit ribosomal RNA", at positions 109 to 651 of the family's 3401-position model. Lineage: Eukaryota; Fungi; Ascomycota; Leotiomycetes; Helotiales; Erysiphaceae. The record is from RNAcentral.